GCGACGGGGGGAUCCCAAGUGUUAUGCUUAAUAGUAUAACUUUUCAUUAGUGUAAAAAGCUUUUAGAAUAAGAGCUGGGCAAGACCGGUGCCAGCCGCCGCGGUAAUACCGGCAGCUCGAGUGGUAGCUGUUUUUAUUGGGCCUAAAGCGUUCGUAGCCGGUUUGAUAAGUCUUUGGUGAAAGCUUGUAGCUUAACUAUAAGAAUUGCUGGAGAUACUAUCAGACUUGAAGUCGGGAGAGGUUAGAGGUACUACCGGGGUAGGGGUGAAAUCCUAUAAUCCUGGGAGGACCACCUGUGGCGAAGGCGUCUAACUUGAACGAUCUUGACGGUGAGUAACGAAAGCCAGGGGCGCGAACCGGAUUAGAUACCCGGGUAGUCCUGGCCGUAAACGAUGUGGACUUGGUGUUGGAAUGGCUUUGAGUUGUUCCAGUGCCGAAGGGAAGCUGUUAAGUCCACCGCCUGGGAAGUACGGUCGCAAGACUGAAACUUAA
Molecule: ribosomal RNA, 492 nt
Filed under: uncultured archaeon
Lineage: Archaea
Description: bacterial SSU rRNA
Rfam family: Archaeal small subunit ribosomal RNA
Source: RNAcentral